Molecule: ribosomal RNA, 274 nt
Filed under: uncultured bacterium
Lineage: Bacteria
Description: partial 16S ribosomal RNA
Rfam family: Bacterial small subunit ribosomal RNA
Source: RNAcentral
AUACGAAGGGCCCGAGCGUUAAUCGGAAUCACUGGGCUUAAAGCGUACGUAGGCGGACUCGCAGGCACCUUGUGAAAUCCCUCGGCUCAACCGAGGAACUGCUUGGUGAACCGCGCGUCUUGAGGCAAGUAGGGGCUGUCGGAACGAUAGGUGGAGCGGUGAAAUGCGUUGAUAUCUAUCGGAACGCCGAAGGCGAAGGCAGACAGCUGGGCUUGUUCUGACGCUGAGGUACGAAAGCGUGGGGAGCGAACGGGAUUAGAUACCCCGGUAGUCC